AUUGAACGCUGGCGGCAGGCCUAACACAUGCAAGUCGAGCGGAGCGGCGGACGGGUGAGUAAUGCCUAGGAAUCUGCCUGUUACUGGGGGAGAACGUCCGGAAACGGGCGCUAAUACCGCAUACUAUCAGAUGAGCCUAGGUGGGAUUAGCUAGUGGGGGGGGUAAAGGCCUACCAAGGCGACGAUCCGUAGCUGGUCUGAGAGGAUGAUCAGUCACACUGGAACUGAGACACGGUCCAGACUCCUACGGGAGGCAGCAGUGGGGAAUAUUGGACAAUGGGCGAAAGCCUGAUGCAGCCAUGCCGCGUGUGUGAAGAAGGUCUUCGGAUUGUAAAGUACUUUCAGCUGGGAGGCGUUACCCACAGAAUAAGCACCGGCUAACUUCGUGCCAGCAGCCGCGGUAAUAC
Molecule: ribosomal RNA, 407 nt
Filed under: uncultured bacterium
Lineage: Bacteria
Description: partial 16S ribosomal RNA
Rfam family: Bacterial small subunit ribosomal RNA
Source: RNAcentral